UUUGACUUUUGUUGAUGGAGACAAGAGACAGUUGACAAUUCCUGACUGUAAAUUGUCAGAUUUUUGGUUUGAUUGUUGUUUUUUUGCCAAAAACUUUUUGGUUAACUUAUUACUUAUUUAUUUUUAGAGGUGAUAAUACAUAUUUUUAUAUAAAUAUAACUAGAUCUUACAUUUUUGUAGUGGUAAAAAUAAGAUAAAAAAAUGAGUGAUCAUUUUACAUCCAUCCAGCGAUGAGAAUUUAGAAGGAAUUGACACUUAGGGAGUACCAAAAAAUUUAGAUUAUUUUGAGGAAACUGUGCCUUUGUUCGAUGGCGAUAAGUAUGUCCUGGAACAUUUUGGCAUCAUCAGAGUAAAAGUAGUAGAGAUGUUACAGGUCCAUUCAACACAUCCAAAAGUUGUUUACACAAAAUAGUAAGGAGAAUCACUUUUUUAUCUGUUGAAUACGUUCGUUGGCCAAAUGAGUAAAUGACAAUCAAAAACAGACUAUUUAAAGAUAUUUUCGUUAUUGCAAUUUCCCAGGGGGCUUAUGUGAAAAUCGAUAAACCAAAGGAAGAUCCAGAUUCAUAUUAAAAUAGGAACAAAAAUAUUCAAUACAGGCACAAAUGGUUUAUGAUCACGAGAAAAUGAUCAGGGAUAUAUUUGUUGUAUAUCCAGGUUCUGUACACUAUAGCAGAGUUUUAAGGAGAUCCAAUUUGUUUGCAGCUCUUCCACAAAGAUGUGGUGAAUACUAUAUUUUAGGUGAUAGUGAAUACACAUGUUUAAACAUUUUUUGACUCCAGUUAAAGACAAGGGUCAUUUAACAAGACAGUAAAGAAAUUAUAAUUAUUGUUCAAAAAUACAUAUGGGAUAGAGCAUUGUUUUGGAUUUCUCAAACAAAGUUUUAUAGGCAGCUGUAUCACCAUCCAUUAAGAAAUAUUAGAGAUAUAGUCCCAUUUAUAAGGGCUAGUGCAGUGUUACAUAACUUAGCAAUUGAUGAUAAUUUGCCCAUCAAUUGAAUGUUGAUGCACCUCAUCUUCUCAUUACCAACAAAUAUGAAAUUGAUGCUGUAUAUAGGUGGUGUUACAAAAAGAAAUUCAUGCAAGGUUUAAAUUUGAUUUUGUAAUAAUUGUGUUUAAUAAACUAUAUUCAGACACUUUCAAA
This is a long non-coding RNA of Diabrotica virgifera virgifera (western corn rootworm), 1140 nucleotides long. RefSeq lists it as uncharacterized. Lineage: Eukaryota; Metazoa; Arthropoda; Insecta; Coleoptera; Chrysomelidae. The transcript is spliced from 4 exons. The record is from RefSeq and is a predicted model, not a curated record.